Molecule: RNA transcript, 3724 nt
Organism: Bombus pascuorum
Lineage: Eukaryota; Metazoa; Arthropoda; Insecta; Hymenoptera; Apidae
Gene name: UNC93-like protein
Exons: 9
Source: RefSeq, a predicted model, not a curated record
UCGUGUUCGAUCAGUGUUAUUUCACUCGUUGCGCACCUGCGAGCGAUUUGCGGCGCGAUUUCGGAUAAAAGAGAGGAAAAAUAGAGCAAGUUGAUAUGGUAGAAACGUAUCAAGGGUUUAAAGAAAAAGUAAUCAUCGAUUCAACUUCAAAGAUGCCCCAAUAAAGGAAACCCACUUUACAAGAAACAGCAAUUAUGAGAUCAACGUUACUUCCCGACCUACCUAAUCAUUCGCUCGUGAUUUUAUGAAUAUCGCUCAAAGAUCGUUACCUAAUAAUCAGAGCUAGACCAUUGUGUAAUACAUAAUCGUUCGAAGAGGACCAUUGAUAACGUCGGACAUUCGCAGCGAUAUCGUGGUAAUAUUUCAGUCAAGCUGCCAAUAAAUUACAUCACUUGCUGUCUGAUAGUCGGUGUAUCGGUCGAUACGUGCUGUGUGUUUGUGAAAGACACAUUUUUAUGCGGCGUCGCGCGAACGUCGAACGUGAUCCUAAAAACGUGUUCGAUGCCAGACAUUGGCGGAAGGAUUUGUCGCGAUCGUAAUUAAAAUCGCGGGAGAAACGUGAAACGAAUCAUGUCGUUGGAUAAAACGGACACGACAGGACAAUUUGUGAAAGUACGAUCUGAGAGGACUGGCUUUAAACCUAUUGAACGAUGGCGUAUCACGAGGAAUGUUCUGAUAAUUGGAAUCGCGUUUAUGGUGAACUUCACGGCAUUCAUGGGGGCGACGAAUUUACAGAGCUCGAUUAAUGCCGAUGGAUCGUUGGGUACCUUCACGCUGGCAUCAAUUUAUGGCAGUCUGAUCUUCAGCAAUAUCUUUCUGCCGACUCUGAUUAUAAGCUGGCUGGGCUGUAAAUGGACCAUAUCAUUGUCAAUUCUAACUUACGUGCCGUUUAUGGCUGCACAAUUCUACCCAAAAUUCUACACCAUGAUACCAGCUGGGUUGAUGGUUGGUAUCGGUGCAGGGCCACUCUGGUGCGCCAAAUGCACCUAUUUAACGGUCGUCGCAGAAGCAUACACCACUCUAUCGAAUGUGGCUCAGGAUGUCCUCGUCACAAGAUUCUUCGGCCUGUUUUUCAUGUUUUACCAGAUGGCACAAGUCUGGGGGAAUCUUAUAUCUUCGGCAGUCCUUUCAUAUGGAAUCGACACGGUGCCAACGAAUAUUACAUUGAAUAGUAGCAUUGUGGCGGAAGCGUGUGGUGCCAAAUUUUGCGGUGCAACUUCCGAUACCGACGACAGUCCAAAUUUGGAACGACCUCCAGAGGAAAGAAUUCAUCUAAUUUGCGGCAUCUAUUUGGGCUGUAUGAUAGUCGCUUCAUUGAUUGUGAUGUUUGGAGUUGACUCACUCUCGAGGUAUGAUAGAGGUAGAUCAGGAUCAGCGACAGGCCAGUCAGGAUUCAAAUUGUUGGCUGUGACACUGAAACUAUUGAAAGAGAAAAACCAGAUCCUUAUACUGCCAAUAAUAAUAUUCAUUGGAGCGGAGCAAGCAUUCUUAUUCGCUGAUUACAAUGCUUCAUUUGUCUCAUGUGCAUGGGGAAUCAACAAUAUAGGUUACGUAAUGAUUUGUUUCGGUGUGACGAACGCUAUAGCUGCUUUAGGUACAGGAUCUAUAAUGAAACUAACAGGAAGAAGGCCUUUGAUGAUAUUCGCUUUUUGUAUUCACAUGGGAAUUUUUGCUUUCCUGUUACGUUGGAAACCCACUCCUGAACAAAAUCAAAUAUUCUUUUUGAUGUCUGGAUUAUGGGGUCUUUGUGACGCUAUGUGGCUAGUACAAAUAAACGCUCUGUCAGGUUUGCUGUUCCCAGGCAAAGAAGAAGCCGCUUUUUCGAACUUCCGACUAUGGGAGUCCACAGGUUCUGUGAUCACAUACGUGUACAGUCCUUACCUCUGCACUCAAACGAAGCUGUACUGUCUAAUAGCAAUCCUCUGUCUUGGAAUGAUUGGUUACGGUAUAAUCGAGUGGACUGGGAAAGCCGAUAGAUCGGUUCCAGAAUCGAAACCAGAUUUCGAAUUGGUGACAAAUGGCGAAUUGAACGACACGACGAAACUUUGAGUUGACGAGAAUAAAAUUAAUGAAUCCUUUCAAUUAGAAAUAUGAUCUCUUCUCAGACGUUGUACUGUAUGAACCUCAGUUUUGUUAGUUAGUUUAAAACAAUAAUUCUCAGGUAUAAAUGCUUCGUCAUGAUGUGAAUAGAAAAUUACAGGAGUUUUGUUGAUAUCUAAAAUUAUUUUAUAAUCGAGUUAUUGUGUUAAAGAGAGGGCGGUGAAUUAAAGAAGAAAGAAAAAGAGCUGAUUUUACUAGCGAUAAUUCUUCGGAUUAUUUUGAAAACGCUCGACAAUAGGAAUAUCGGUGUGAAUAAUAUUAUAAUUGCGGUAUACAUAUCGUAUAUAUAGAAAUCAUACACAAAUCAGAUCGGCAUAUAAAAAAUUAUAUGUACAAGAAAGAGUUCGGUUGGAGGCGCAGUCAGGACCUUGAAGGUACGAUCUUUUGUGUGAUUUGUACCAUAAUAUAUGUUUUUAUUUUAUUCUUGUGGACACCUACUAGAUUUUACACAGAUAGUUCGCUUAACCGCUAAAGAUUCUUUUCUCCGUCUCUUCUUCAUGUUUUUUUCCUUUUUUUUUCUUGUCUCUUUAAAUACGUAGUUUAAUGUUACAUCGUGUGUCUAGGUGCUAACAUUCAAGCUAAAGCUACGGCUGCUUAAUUUAAUUGUAUACUUAAUGUGCUUAAUUUCCUUUUCACUGUACGCGUGAUGUGUCUCAUGUAUGUAGGUAUCUCAGUAUAUUAUGUAUGUAUACAUGUAUAUAUGUGUUUGUAAAUGCGAUAAAGUAUUGUCUAUCUGUAUGUAUGUAUAAUAUGUAUCUCUGCGAGUGUCUAUCUGUAUGUAUGUAUGUAUGUAUGUAUGUAUGUAUGUAUGUAUGUAUUAACGCGUUUUCCUCUCUCGUAGUAUGUUCCGUUUUAUGCUCAUCGUUUAUUGUGCUGUCACGAUCAAUUGUCCCCCGUCUCUUUUAAAUUGCGAAGGCGAUGGUAUAUUACAAGAUUAUUUGCCGCUUGAUAUUUAUCGCGUGGUCCGUUACGCGGAUCUUCUUGAAUUUGUCUGAAUUUCGUAUUAAUAAAUAAUAAACGAAUCGCGACGUGGAAUCAAUUGACCUUGCAUCCCUCGUCUGUUUGCGUCGUUCGAUUGCUGAUUGUAUUUGUGGAUCGUGUGCUAGCUUAACCCUCGUUUAUGUACAAUUCAAGUUUUGCAGUUCAGUUAUAUACUUUAUAAAACGUAGUAGGAACUUUGGUUUCGCUGGGCAAUGUUUCAAGAGCAGUUUCCUCUUUUUGUUCGUGCCACGAACUUAUCUUCCUUUUUAUCUUUUUUUUUUUUGUUUUUUACUGUCAUUUAUUUUUCAUCCUCGAUUAUUUAGUAUUUUUCAUCAUUUCUUUCUGUUUCUUUAAAUUAUUUUCUAUUCGUUCUUUCGUUCUGAAAACACAUAAUUCCGUUAUUUUAUUUGUCAAGCGUAGCAAUGCGUGUAUUUUCAUCUCUGAAUAUAACCUGAACAUGAAAAUUCGGCCGGAAACUGCUAUAAAACAUUCGCCCGUGGAUCUAUCUUCCUUAGAAAUAUGACACUCACGAAUACAGUUCACGUUUUUUUUUUUUUUCUUUAAUACUCAUGUUUAUAUUUCCGUAAUGACCUAUUGAAUAUCAAUUUUUUUUUUCACGAAGAAAAUACACAUGAUUCGUAAA